This 1061-nucleotide ribosomal RNA is filed under the name Dothideomycetes sp. genotype 207. RNAcentral describes it as "eukaryotic LSU rRNA". The stretch from base 467 to 1061 matches the Rfam family "Eukaryotic large subunit ribosomal RNA", at positions 1 to 604 of the family's 3401-position model. Lineage: Eukaryota; Fungi; Ascomycota; Dothideomycetes. The record is from RNAcentral.
GAUCAUUAGCGUGGGGCUCCGGCCCUGUCGUGAUAGAACCCUUGCCUUUUGAGUACCGUCCGUUUCCUCGGCAGGCUCGCCUGCCAAUGGGGACCCCCAAUAAACCCUUUUUUAUGUACCUGUAUCAGUCUGACAAACAAACAAAAGUUAAAACUUUCAACAACGGAUCUCUUGGUUCUGGCAUCGAUGAAGAACGCAGCGAAAUGCGAUAAGUAGUGUGAAUUGCAGAAUUCAGUGAAUCAUCGAAUCUUUGAACGCACAUUGCGCCCUUUGGUAUUCCUUAGGGCAUGCCUGUUCGAGCGUCAUUUGUAACCUCAAGCUCAGCUUGGUGUUGGGUGUCUGUCCCCGCCCCGCGCGGGGACUCGCCUCAAAAACAUUGGCGGCCGGUACGUUGGCUUCGAGCGCAGCAGAAACGCGAACUCGAGGCCCGACGGAUCGGCGACCAGAAGUCACUUCUUCCACAGCUUGACCUCGGAUCAGGUAGGGAUACCCGCUGAACUUAAGCAUAUCAAUAAGCGGAGGAAAAGAAACCAACAGGGAUUGCCCUAGUAACGGCGAGUGAAGCGGCAAGAGCUCAAAUUUGAAAUCUGGCCCCCUCGGGGUCCGAGUUGUAAUUUGUAGAGGGUGCUUUGGCGUUGGCUGUGGUCUAAGUUCCUUGGAACAGGACGUCGCAGAGGGUGAGAAUCCCGUAUGUGGCCGCCAGUCUUCGCCGUGUAAAGCCCCUUCGACGAGUCGAGUUGUUUGGGAAUGCAGCUCUAAAUGGGAGGUAAAUUUCUUCUAAAGCUAAAUAUUGGCCAGAGACCGAUAGCGCACAAGUAGAGUGAUCGAAAGAUGAAAAGCACUUUGGAAAGAGAGUCAAAAAGCACGUGAAAUUGUUGAAAGGGAAGCGCUUGCAGCCAGACUUGCCCGCAGUUGCUCAUCCAGGCUCGCGCCUGGUGCACUCUUCUGCGGGCAGGCCAGCAUCAGUCUGGGCGGUUGGAUAAAGGCCUGCUAAAUGUACCUCUCCUCGGGGAGGACUUAUAGGGUAGGCAACAUACAACCAGCCCGGAUUGAGGUCCGCG